UGGCCUCUGCCAUCAGACCAUCUGGGUUCAAGUUUGGCUCCAUCUUUAUGAAAUGGGUGGUCUGAGGCAAGUGGUCU
Molecule: microRNA precursor, 77 nt
Organism: Gorilla gorilla gorilla (western lowland gorilla)
Lineage: Eukaryota; Metazoa; Chordata; Mammalia; Primates; Hominidae
Source: Ensembl